RNAcentral lists this ribosomal RNA (490 nucleotides) under Salmonella enterica subsp. enterica serovar Stanleyville. RNAcentral's name for it is "partial 23S ribosomal RNA". It matches the Rfam family "Bacterial large subunit ribosomal RNA", at positions 711 to 1199 of the family's 2925-position model. Lineage: Bacteria; Pseudomonadati; Pseudomonadota; Gammaproteobacteria; Enterobacterales; Enterobacteriaceae. The record is from RNAcentral.
AGACCCGAAACCCGGUGAUCUAGCCAUGGGCAGGUUGAAGGUUGGGUAACACUAACUGGAGGACCGAACCGACUAAUGUUGAAAAAUUAGCGGAUGACCUGUGGCUGGGGGUGAAAGGCCAAUCAAACCGGGAGAUAGCUGGUUCUCCCCGAAAGCUAUUUAGGUAGCGCCUCGUGAACUCAUCUCCGGGGGUAGAGCACUGUUUCGGCUAGGGGGCCAUCCCGGCUUACCAACCCGAUGCAAACUGCGAAUACCGGAGAAUGUUAUCACGGGAGACACACGGCGGGUGCUAACGUCCGUCGUGAAGAGGGAAACAACCCAGACCGCCAGCUAAGGUCCCAAAGUCAUGGUUAAGUGGGAAACGAUGUGGGAAGGCCCAGACAGCCAGGAUGUUGGCUUAGAAGCAGCCAUCAUUUAAAGAAAGCGUAAUAGCUCACUGGUCGAGUCGGCCUGCGCGGAAGAUGUAACGGGGCUAAACCAUGCACCGAAG